RNAcentral lists this ribosomal RNA (465 nucleotides) under uncultured bacterium. RNAcentral's name for it is "partial 16S ribosomal RNA". It matches the Rfam family "Bacterial small subunit ribosomal RNA", at positions 28 to 507 of the family's 1533-position model. The record is from RNAcentral.
GACGAACGCUGGCGGCGUGCUUAACACAUGCAAGUCGAACGGAAAGGCCCUGCUUGCAGGGUACUCGAGUGGCGAACGGGUGAGUAACACGUGGGUGAUCUGCCCUGCACUUCGGGAUAAGCCUGGGAAACUGGCUCUAAUACCGGAUAGGAGCCAUUUUUAGUGUGAUGGUUGGAAAGUUUUUUCGGUGUAGGAUGAGCUCGCGGCCUAUCAGCUUGUUGGUGGGGUAAUGGCCUACCAAGGCGGCGACGGGUAGCCGGCCUGAGAGGGUGGACGGCCACAUUGGGACUGAGAUACGGCCCAGACUCCUACGGGAGGCAGCAGUGGGGAAUAUUGCACAAUGGGCGCAAGCCGGAUGCAGCGACGCCGCGUGGGGGAGGACGGCCUUCGGGUUGUAAACUCCUUUCGCUAGGGACGAAGCUUUUUGUGACGGUACCUAGAUAAGAAGCACCGGCUAACUACGUG